This 253-nucleotide ribosomal RNA is filed under the name uncultured bacterium. Its description in RNAcentral is "partial 16S ribosomal RNA". It matches the Rfam family "Bacterial small subunit ribosomal RNA", at positions 524 to 776 of the family's 1533-position model. The record is from RNAcentral.
UACGAAGGGGGCUAGCGUUGCUCGGAAUCACUGGGCGUAAAGGGCGCGUAGGCGGACUCUUAAGUCGGGGGUGAAAGCCCAGGGCUCAACCCUGGGAUUGCCUUCGAUACUGAGAGUCUUGAGUUCGGAAGAGGUUGGUGGAACUGCGAGUGUAGAGGUGAAAUUCGUAGAUAUUCGCAAGAACACCAGUGGCGAAGGCGGCCAACUGGUCCGAUACUGACGCUGAGGCGCGAAAGCGUGGGGAGCAAACAGG